GAUGAACGCUGGCGGCGUGCUCAUACAUGCAAGUCGAGCGAACAGACGAGGAGCUUGCUCCUCUGACGUUAGCGGCGGACGGGUGAGUAACACGUGGAUAACCUACCUAUAAGACUGGGAUAACUUCGGGAAACCGGAGCUAAUACCGGAUAAUAUAUUGAACCGCAUGGUUCAAUAGUGAAAGACGGUUUUGCUGUCACUUAUAGAUGGAUCCGCGCCGCAUUAGCUAGUUGGUAAGGUAACGGCUUACCAAGGCAACGAUGCGUAGCCGACCUGAGAGGGUGAUCGGCCACACUGGAACUGAGACACGGUCCAGACUCCUACGGGAGGCAGCAGUAGGGAAUCUUCCGCAAUGGGCGAAAGCCUGACGGAGCAACGCCGCGUGAGUGAUGAAGGUCUUCGGAUCGUAAAACUCUGUUAUUAGGGAAGAACAAAUGUGUAAGUAACUAUGCACGUCUUGACGGUACCUAAUCAGAAAGCCACGGCUAACUACGUG
RNAcentral lists this ribosomal RNA (496 nucleotides) under uncultured bacterium. RNAcentral's name for it is "partial 16S ribosomal RNA". It matches the Rfam family "Bacterial small subunit ribosomal RNA", at positions 28 to 507 of the family's 1533-position model. The record is from RNAcentral.